Molecule: ribosomal RNA, 379 nt
Filed under: uncultured bacterium
Lineage: Bacteria
Description: bacterial SSU rRNA
Rfam family: Bacterial small subunit ribosomal RNA
Source: RNAcentral
GACGAACGCUGGCGGCGUGCUUAACACAUGCAAGUCGAGCGGUAAGGCCCUUUCGGGGGUACACGAGCGGCGAACGGGUGAGUAACACGUGGGUGACCUGCCCUCAGCUCUGGGAUAAGCCUGGGAAACCGGGUCUAAUACUGGAUAUGACUCCAUGACGCAUGUUGUGUGGUGGAAAGCCUUGUGCGGCUGAGGAUGGGCCCGCGGCCUAUCAGCUUGUUGGUGGGGUGAUGGCCUACCAAGGCGACGACGGGUAGCCGGCCUGAGAGGGCGACCGGCCACACUGGGACUGAGACACGGCCCAGACUCCUACGGGAGGCAGCAGUGGGGAAUCUUGCGCAAUGGGCGAAAGCCUGACGCAGCGACGCCGCGUGAGGGA